RNAcentral lists this ribosomal RNA (1346 nucleotides) under uncultured bacterium. RNAcentral describes it as "partial 16S ribosomal RNA". It matches the Rfam family "Bacterial small subunit ribosomal RNA", at positions 28 to 1381 of the family's 1533-position model. The record is from RNAcentral.
GACGAACGCUGGCGGCGUGCUUAACACAUGCAAGUCGAACGGAAAGGCCCUGCUUUUGUGGGGUGCUCGAGUGGCGAACGGGUGAGUAACACGUGAGUAACCUGCCCUUGACUUUGGGAUAACUUCAGGAAACUGGGGCUAAUACCGGAUAGGAGCUCCUGCUGCAUGGUGGGGGUUGGAAAGUUUCGGCGGUUGGGGAUGGACUCGCGGCUUAUCAGCUUGUUGGUGGGGUAGUGGCUUACCAAGGCUUUGACGGGUAGCCGGCCUGAGAGGGUGACCGGCCACAUUGGGACUGAGAUACGGCCCAGACUCCUACGGGAGGCAGCAGUGGGGAAUAUUGCACAAUGGGCGGAAGCCUGAUGCAGCAACGCCGCGUGCGGGAUGACGGCCUUCGGGUUGUAAACCGCUUUCGCCUGUGACGAAGCGUGAGUGACGGUAAUGGGUAAAGAAGCACCGGCUAACUACGUGCCAGCAGCCGCGGUGAUACGUAGGGUGCGAGCGUUGUCCGGAUUUAUUGGGCGUAAAGGGCUCGUAGGUGGUUGAUCGCGUCGGAAGUGUAAUCUUGGGGCUUAACCCUGAGCGUGCUUUCGAUACGGGUUGACUUGAGGAAGGUAGGGGAGAAUGGAAUUCCUGGUGGAGCGGUGGAAUGCGCAGAUAUCAGGAGGAACACCAGUGGCGAAGGCGGUUCUCUGGGCCUUUCCUGACGCUGAGGAGCGAGAGCGUGGGGAGCGAACAGGCUUAGAUACCCUGGUAGUCCACGCUGUAAACGGUGGGUACUAGGUGUGGGGUCCAUUCCACGGGUUCCGUGCCGUAGCUAACGCUUUAAGUACCCCGCCUGGGGAGUACGGCCGCAAGGCUAAAACUCAAAGGAAUUGACGGGGCCCCGCACAAGCGGCGGAGCAUGCGGAUUAAUUCGAUGCAACGCGUAGAACCUUACCUGGGUUUGACAUGGAUCGGGAGUGCUCAGAGAUGGGUGUGCCUCUUUUGGGGUCGGUUCACAGGUGGUGCAUGGCUGUCGUCAGCUCGUGUCGUGAGAUGUUGGGUUAAGUCCCGCAACGAGCGCAACCCUUGUUCACUGUUGCCAGCACGUUAUGGUGGGGACUCAGUGGAGACCGCCGGGGUCAACUCGGAGGAAGGUGGGGAUGACGUCAAGUCAUCAUGCCCCUUAUGUCCAGGGCUUCACGCAUGCUACAAUGGCUGGUACAGAGAGUGGCGAGCCUGUGAGGGUGAGCGAAUCUCGGAAAGCCGGUCUCAGUUCGGAUUGGGGUCUGCAACUCGACCUCAUGAAGUCGGAGUCGCUAGUAAUCGCAGAUCAGCAACGCUGCGGUGAAUAAGUUCCCGGGGCU